This 71-nucleotide transfer RNA is filed under the name Trichoderma koningiopsis. RNAcentral's name for it is "tRNA-Phe". Lineage: Eukaryota; Fungi; Ascomycota; Sordariomycetes; Hypocreales; Hypocreaceae. The record is from RNAcentral.
ACGUCUAUAACUUAAAGGAAGAGUACGUUAUAAAAAAAAACGAAGUAGAUGUUCGACUCAUCUUAGAUGGA